This 252-nucleotide ribosomal RNA is filed under the name uncultured bacterium. RNAcentral describes it as "partial 16S ribosomal RNA". It matches the Rfam family "Bacterial small subunit ribosomal RNA", at positions 524 to 776 of the family's 1533-position model. The record is from RNAcentral.
UACGAAGGGGGCUAGCGUUGCUCAGAAUCACUGGGCGUAAAGCGCACGUAGGCGGGUCGUUAAGUCAGGGUGAAAUCCUGGAGCUCAACUCCAGAACUGCCCUUGAUACUGGCGAUCUCGAGUUCGGGAGAGGUGAGUGGAACUGCGAGUGUAGAGGUGAAAUUCGUAGAUAUUCGCAAGAACACCAGUGGCGAAGGCGGCUCACUGGCCCGAUACUGACGCUGAGGUGCGAAAGCGUGGGGAGCAAACAGG